GUGAAUCAUCAAAUUUUUGAACGCAAAUUGCACUCUCUGGUAUUCCGGAGAGUAUGCCUGUUUGAGGGUCAGUAUAAAUAAAAAUCGUAGUGCUUGCUGCCUUUCGUGGUGACGCACCGGAUCUGGGUUGUCUUGCCUUCGGCUAAGUGACAUAAAAUUUAGCAUGAUUUUUUUCGAAUGUAUUUAUAUGAUUUUACGUACGUUUUCGAUAUCGAAUAUUAGGU
Molecule: unclassified non-coding RNA, 224 nt
Filed under: Glomeromycotina sp.
Lineage: Eukaryota; Fungi; Glomeromycota
Description: partial contains 5.8S ribosomal RNA and internal transcribed spacer 2
Rfam family: 5.8S ribosomal RNA (bases 1-71)
Source: RNAcentral